ACAUUCUGCUUAAACCAUUUCUU
RNAcentral lists this transfer RNA (23 nucleotides) under Microtus subterraneus (Common pine vole). Its description in RNAcentral is "Terricola subterraneus (Common pine vole) partial tRNA-Pro". The record is from RNAcentral. Lineage: Eukaryota; Metazoa; Chordata; Mammalia; Rodentia; Cricetidae.